CGCAACUAGAGUGUGCAGUAUGUGCAUGUCACACCCUGGAUUUUGCGGAAGCGUGGGUUUAUUUGGUGUGACUUCUUAAUACCAUAGUGUAACACCCCGAAAAUAUAAAUCUUUAUAUUAGAAAUUUAAGGAUUUCAUAAACAAGAAAUAACCAUGUAGAAAUUUUAACCUAGUUAAGAUUUUACAAGUCUUGAAAUAACUUACACUUGGUUAAAACACUAGUAUUUAAAACUAAAUAAAAAGUGAGGGACUAAAUCUGCCAAAGAAUGAAAGUUAUAGGCUGAUUAGUAACAAAACUCACCAAACACACCAUUUGUUGGUGUGUCUGGUCGAACAAGAGGAAACGGGCGACCAGGGUAUUCCCCAAACCCUAACUUCACACUAAAAUCUGCAAAUUGAAGCCCCAAAUCCGUUCCAAUCAAGUUCUAAACGCAAAUUAGCGAACACCUCGUCAUAAGGAUCAAAAGGUAUGUAGAAAUUUGAUGUUUUGAUUCACCAUGAAUUCUAGGGUAUUGAUGAAAAACUGAAAUUUAGCCUAGAUAUGUUAUGCAUGAACAAGUCUUGAAGUAAUAUGAUGUUUAGGGUUGAACCCUAGAUGAUUAUUAGUGAAAAUCAUUACAUGAUACUUGAAGAAAUUACAAUCACCAUUGUAGGUGAUUUAUGAUAUUGUAAAGUUAGACAAACACUAGGAUUAUGGUUUUUAAUCUAGUGAAAAGCUGAAUUGUAUGAUGAAAUUCAGCAAUUUAAAUGUUAAGUAUGUAAGAUUUGCUUAAUUGAAGUUAAUUUAGAUGUUAAAUUUCAAGUCAUGAACUUGGUAAUGAUUGUAGAAAAAUCUGACCCAUUAGGUGUUUGUUGAAAUGCCUAAGUGAUGGUUUUUAUGCUAAAUUUGAUGAAAACGCAGAUUUUGAUCAUGUCUCAUAAAUGAUGUGAUUAUGGUCAUGAAAAGAAUUCUAAACAAGUUAAAAAACUUCUAGGCAAAGAGUCCGGAUCAUCAAGCGGACAAGCCGGAGGGAAUUCACGGGGAAAAGGCGUGCUUUAAAGAUGAUUUCGUAAGCGAUCCCUCGUGGGAAAGCGAAACAUGAUAGCGAUUUUCAGGUUUUCUAGCAGAAGGGUGAUGAUCAAGCAUAUGCAUCCGGACCGAACACUUUAACAAAUGCUUCCGCACAUGAUCUUUAGUUUUAAAAACUAUGAAAACAAUUGCAGUUUCGUUUUGAAUAUGGUUUUGUAAGAACAAUACAUGUAUGUUGUGUCUAGUUAUGGUUUAAAAUAUUAAAAGUUUUUGUAAACUCUAAAUAUUUGGUAUCAAAUGCAUAGUCUUAU
This 1320-nucleotide long non-coding RNA is filed under the name Helianthus annuus (common sunflower). RNAcentral's name for it is "hypothetical non coding rna". The record is from RNAcentral. Lineage: Eukaryota; Viridiplantae; Streptophyta; Magnoliopsida; Asterales; Asteraceae.